RNAcentral lists this non-coding RNA (26 nucleotides) under Homo sapiens (human). The record is from RNAcentral. Lineage: Eukaryota; Metazoa; Chordata; Mammalia; Primates; Hominidae.
ACAUGGUGAAGUGCCAGGGCCUCUGU